UACAGAGGGGGCAAGCGUUGUUCGGAAUUACUGGGCGUAAAGGGCGCGUAGGCGGCCUUCUAAGUCGGACGUGAAAUCCCCGGGCUCAACCCGGGAACUGCGUCCGAUACUGGAAGGCUUGAGUCCGGGAGAGGGAUGCGGAAUUCCAGGUGUAGCGGUGAAAUGCGUAGAUAUCUGGAGGAACACCGGUGGCGAAGGCGGCACCCUGGACAGGUAUUGACGCUGAGGCGCGAAGGCCAGGGGAGCAAACGGG
This 253-nucleotide ribosomal RNA is filed under the name uncultured bacterium. Its description in RNAcentral is "partial 16S ribosomal RNA". It matches the Rfam family "Bacterial small subunit ribosomal RNA", at positions 524 to 776 of the family's 1533-position model. The record is from RNAcentral.